RNAcentral lists this small nucleolar RNA (137 nucleotides) under Zalophus californianus (California sea lion). RNAcentral's name for it is "Small nucleolar RNA SNORA58 (ENSZCAG00015008968.1)". It matches the Rfam family "Small nucleolar RNA SNORA58". From Rfam's summary of the family: ACA52 is a member of the H/ACA class of snoRNA that guide the sites of modification of uridines to pseudouridines. Lineage: Eukaryota; Metazoa; Chordata; Mammalia; Carnivora; Otariidae. The record is from RNAcentral.
GGGCAUACCCGUAGACCUUGUCUGACUGUGCUUGUGUCCAGGCAAGGGGGACAGUGUAUGCGAGAGCAACUUGGAGUUCGUGCCAGCCCCAGCCGGCUGAAUCAGUGGCUGGAUAAAUCGCAGCACUCCCAACAUUG